Non-coding RNA from Pongo abelii (Sumatran orangutan), 82 nucleotides. The record is from Rfam. Lineage: Eukaryota; Metazoa; Chordata; Mammalia; Primates; Hominidae.
CUGGAAAGGAAGAAGCAUUCUUUCAUUGGCUGGUGUGUAUUGCCUUGUCAACCAAUAAGAGGAUGCCAUUUAUCCUUUUCUG